GCCUGAGUGGCUCAGUCAGUUGGGCAUCUGGCUUAGGCUCAGAUCAUGAUCUCGCAGUUUGUGGGUUCAAGCCCCGCAUUGGGCU
RNAcentral lists this transfer RNA (85 nucleotides) under Felis catus (domestic cat). It matches the Rfam family "tRNA". From Rfam's summary of the family: Transfer RNA (tRNA) molecules are approximately 80 nucleotides in length. Their secondary structure includes four short double-helical elements and three loops (D, anti-codon, and T loops). The record is from Rfam by way of RNAcentral. Lineage: Eukaryota; Metazoa; Chordata; Mammalia; Carnivora; Felidae.